UGGGUUCGAAUACGGGAAAAGAUUUUUUAUAUGAAUUGGGUCUGUUAGUAUCACAAUUGACUGUACUCUAGCUAUCUGAAAUCAAUUAUCAAACUACAAAACACCAAGGCUUACUACUUCCAUCUUAAUUCAACACAUAAUCCACUCUACGAAUAUCAAUUCAACAAUACUUCUAUAUUCUUAUCGGUUCAUCUUCCACUUACUAUCUUUGUCAUUUAUAUAUAUUCAAUUACUGAUCUCCAGCUUACUUAUUAUAUUUAGUUUCUAAAUUCAUCACACAAAAUUCAAUAUCUUUACUUAACACAACAUAAUUCGAUAAUCUCAAUUCUCAAGGUCACAAAUUUUUUCCAAAACGGUUAGUCCAAAGUCAUAUUCCACAAUAUUCUAAUCACAAUUUCAACAAUACUUCUCUCAAUCACAAUUCUUCAUAAGCAAAUAAUAAAAGCAAAGAAAACA
Molecule: long non-coding RNA, 456 nt
Filed under: Physcomitrium patens
Lineage: Eukaryota; Viridiplantae; Streptophyta; Bryopsida; Funariales; Funariaceae
Description: long non-coding RNA (PPAT_LNC007071)
Source: RNAcentral